UUACGGCCACAUCACGUCGAAACACCGAUUCCUGUACGAUCACAGAAGUUAAGCAACCUUGAGCUUGGUCAGUACCUUUAUGGGUCACCACUUGGGAAUGUCAGGUGUUGUAA
Molecule: non-coding RNA, 113 nt
Organism: Acanthosepion pharaonis
Lineage: Eukaryota; Metazoa; Mollusca; Cephalopoda; Sepiida; Sepiidae
Source: the annotation of a GenBank genome assembly